Non-coding RNA from Mycena rosella, 95 nucleotides. The record is from the annotation of a GenBank genome assembly. Lineage: Eukaryota; Fungi; Basidiomycota; Agaricomycetes; Agaricales; Mycenaceae.
GGUUCAAAAGCGGAAUGGUCCGCGUCUGCGCAUAUUUAUCGCAUCUUACCACUCCUAAUUAGCAGGAGUUGCCCGUUCGACUCGGGCUUGAACCA